CUCAGUUCGGACUGCAGGCUGCAACUCGCCUGCACGAAGUUGGAAUUGCUAGUAAUCGUGGAUCAGCAUGCCACGGUGAAUACGUUCCCGGGUCUUGUACACACCGCCCGUCACACCAUGGGAGCCGGUAAUACCCGAAGUCAGUAGUCUAACCGCAAGGAGGACGCUGCCGAAGGUAGGAUUGGCGACUGGGGUGAAGUCGUAACAAGGUAAC
This 214-nucleotide ribosomal RNA is filed under the name uncultured bacterium. RNAcentral's name for it is "partial 16S ribosomal RNA". It matches the Rfam family "Bacterial small subunit ribosomal RNA", at positions 1287 to 1500 of the family's 1533-position model. The record is from RNAcentral.